UCUAAUAUGUCAGAUUAAAUGAGUUGGAUUUAAGAUUCAAAUAUAAAGUUUCAAGCUUUUGUUAGAA
RNAcentral lists this transfer RNA (67 nucleotides) under Prosevania sp. ZJUH_2016031. RNAcentral's name for it is "tRNA-Leu". It matches the Rfam family "tRNA". From Rfam's summary of the family: Transfer RNA (tRNA) molecules are approximately 80 nucleotides in length. The record is from RNAcentral. Lineage: Eukaryota; Metazoa; Arthropoda; Insecta; Hymenoptera; Evaniidae.